GGAACCUUCGAUUAUUGUCUGCUCCUCCGCGUUGUGGUUUUACCGCCCGGUUAUCCGACCCACCCCUAAGCGAGAGAUACGUUACUACGYYUAGGRCGUGAAACCCCUCCGCCACUAACUUUGAGGAGCUACUUUGGCGUAAGCUCCCGCCACUAGAGGCUAAAGCUUAAGGGGACAAAUGACCCUGGAUGCGCCCUGCCCACUAAAGUACUAAUGGGCGCAAUAUGCGAUCAAAGAUUCGAYYAUUCUCUGAAUUCYGCAUUUCUCAUUACUUAUCGCUUUUCUCUGCGUUCUUCAUCGAUCCCAGAACCCAGAUAUCCGUUGUUGAAAGUUUUAACUUAUUUUGUUAUAGGUUCAAAAUUCAAUAUCAAACAUARUUUGGUGGGCCGCCGGCCGGCUUACCCGCACCUCCCGGGUAAGUCUUACCGGGUAAGACUACCAGGUAGGCGCGACCUGCCGAGGCAACGUUAGGUAUGUUCACGUGGGUUUGGGAGUUAUAGAACUCUUUAAUGAUCCCUCCGCAGGUUCACCUACGGAAGG
RNAcentral lists this ribosomal RNA (540 nucleotides) under fungal sp. SNB-GTC2604. RNAcentral describes it as "partial large subunit ribosomal RNA". The record is from RNAcentral. Lineage: Eukaryota; Fungi.